Long non-coding RNA from Lolium perenne, 1133 nucleotides. RefSeq lists it as uncharacterized. Lineage: Eukaryota; Viridiplantae; Streptophyta; Magnoliopsida; Poales; Poaceae. The record is from RefSeq and is a predicted model, not a curated record.
CUCACGUCGCGCAUGCCCCUCCUCCUUGGCCUGUUCUCAUCUCCCUCCUCUCUCUGUCUCUUCCUCUCUAUCUUCCUCUUUGUGCUCUCGCUCAUUUUUCUCCUGGAUGCAGCAGGGAGUCGGCCGGUGGUGGCAUGGCUCAGGAUCCCUCCGUGUUUGGCGGCGCAGAGCAGCGGGGUGAGCCGCAGCAGUUUGCCGCGCGUGCGCAACUCGUUCUUCUGCGGGGGGCUACGCCUGUCCCCCACGCCCAAGCUGCUGCUCUCCAGCGUGAAGGAUAGGUGAGCUGGUUAUGCUGUUAAAUCCCCUCCUCUUUAUAGAUCCCCAUGAUUUGUACUCCGCUAUUUCGAUUUGAGAUUAAGAUUUUUAUCUGUGCUGCUGCUUCCGGGGUUGUGCGGGAUUGGAUACAACAUGGUCGUUUUUGUGGUGGAGAGGGAGUCCUGGAGGUCAUCGUCAACCAGAGAUUGCUAAUGCUUGGAGGCUAAAUUGAUUUUCCGCUCAAGCAGCUAGAGGUCUUCCUAGGAAACUGCAUUGGCAGAUGCAGAAGACUCCUGCAGGAUGAAAAAAUGGAUUUACUAGAAGGCAAACACGAUAGCGGCCAAGUUGCUUCUAUGUGUUGGUGAUAUUAGUCAUGGCCUUGAUGCUUGGAGGAUAUAUAACGAUCUAUGCGGGUAGCAGCAGGAUGUCUGCGAGCCAGGCUUUGGAUGUCCAGGAGUUUCUUACACCCCAGCAUUAGUGUUCGUGGAGUCCAUCGUUGUUGCAGGAUUCUUGAGGGGAACAGUUCAUCACGGGGCGCUAUUUCCAGGGGCGAAUUGCGGUGCUGGUGUUGCUUCACAGGUUUGGUGAGAAACUUCAUGUCUUACUCUUAUCAUUGUUGUGCAUUGCCCAUGUUAAACUUUUGCUCGUUUACGCUGAGGGGUUGCUGUUGGAACCGCAUCGGCUCUGUUUUCUGCUUAUUGUGUGUGCUUUGUUGACCACAUAGUGGCUGCUUCAUUUCUUCUUCUGUUCCUUGACAUGUGCGGUGAUCGGGUUGCUUUGUGUGUUGUCCAAUCUGUUCUAGCUAUCAAGUUUGAUUACUGGUGAUAUGUAAUACCCAAUUGGUCUAUAGCCAAAUCACUUGGGUGGGCACAUGAUAU